RNAcentral lists this ribosomal RNA (482 nucleotides) under uncultured bacterium. RNAcentral describes it as "bacterial SSU rRNA". It matches the Rfam family "Bacterial small subunit ribosomal RNA", at positions 57 to 518 of the family's 1533-position model. The record is from RNAcentral.
GCAAGUCGAACGGGAGUCCGUGACGUAGCAAUACUGAUCGGUGAGAGUGGCGGAAGGGCGAGGAACACGUGAGCAACCUGUCCUUGAGGUGGGGAAACCGGUUGGAAACGACGGCUAAUACCGAAUGUGGCGCCGGGAGGCAUCCUCCGAGCGCUAAAGGGGGCCGCAAGGCUCUCCCUCUUCGAGGGCUCGCGCACCAUCAGCUUGUUGGCGGGGUAACGGCCCACCAAGGCUUACGGUUAGCUGGUCUGAGAGGAUGGCCAGCCGCACUGGGACUGAGAUACUGCCCAGACUCCUACGGGAGGCUGCAGUCGAGGAUCAUUCGCAAUGGGGGAAACCCUGACGAUGCGACGCUGCGUGGAGGACGACGGCCUUCGGGUUGUAAACUCCUGUCAUCGGGGAAAAGGCGAGGGAGCCCAACACGUUCCUUAGUUGAUGGUACCCGAAGAGGAAGCGACGGCUAACUCUGUGCCAGCAGCCGC